RNAcentral lists this long non-coding RNA (1121 nucleotides) under Olea europaea subsp. europaea. Lineage: Eukaryota; Viridiplantae; Streptophyta; Magnoliopsida; Lamiales; Oleaceae. The record is from RNAcentral.
UUUUAGUCUAUCUUGUUCUUUGGAUGAUCAAUUUUGGGUUUCACUGGAUUUGUUUAUGUGAAUUCCUUGAGUUGAAUUUUUAAUGUAAUUUGUGCUUCUGGUGUUUGGUUUAUGGUCCCUUUUUUCAUUUUAUGUAUGUUCCUGUGCCUUUAUGAUUACCUUCUUUUUAGUACAUUUGGAUUAAUAUUGACGGAUCUUUAGUCUGUCUUGUUCUUUGGAUGAUCAAUCUUGGGUUUAACUAGAUUUGUUUAUGUGAAUUUUGUCGGUUGAAUUUUUAAAGUAAUUUGUGCUUUUUGUGUUUGGUUUGUGGUUCCUUUUUCAGUUUAUUAUGUAAGAUUAUUUUAGAAAUUAUGUUCUUAGAGUGAGGGAGAAUGUUCUCUUUGUUUUUCCUAAUUUGAUUGUAGUUAUCUCCGUAAUUUUGAAAUUUGGUUUGUGAUUUUGGUUGUGCUUUUGUUGCACGAGCUUCAACCAUUACGCAUUUCCGUUUUAUGUAUGGUUAAUUCAUCAAUUAUGCCUUUUGAGGUUUUUUUAUUUUUUAUUUUUUUAUGGUUUUGUGAGUUCUUUUUGGGUAAUUUCAUGUUUCUAAUUAAAUUCUUUGAUGGGAUGAAUUUAGAAGGAUACUUUUUGGGUUUUGUUUGUACCAACUGAUGAUUAGCUUCAAGUGUCAGUGGCAUUGAGAAGGGCUUUUUUCCUAGUCUAGUUUCUGAUAUAACUUUCAGCAUUGUUCACACAGCAACACCCGAAUUUGUAUAUUUCUAGACAGGUUUAAUCACAAGCGGCUACUCUAUCUUGUCAUGAUUCAGAUGAUACUAAGAAGUCCAAACUCAACAGUCAUGGUGCGCAUGGAAGAUUAUCUUAGUUUUCAUGGUUUUCUGGUUCUAUAUUAUACUGCUUACCUCGAUUUUCAUUGUCAAUAAUCUAGUAUGUGAAUAUUUCUUAAGAGUUCAUUGAUUUCACUUUUGCUCUGUGCACUAAACUCCCUCAAUUAGAGGUUGAUUUGCUCUUCUAAUUUUAUUGCUACUACGUAUUAUUACUUUCUAUCGAAUACAAUUCUACAAUUUACAGCUGCUUGAAAACAUAACCGUUUAAACUUCUUUGCUUUAGCUUGGAUAUUUUUCCUA